UACGGAGGGGGCCAGCGUUGUUCGGAAUUAUUGGGCGUAAAGGGCGCGUAGGCGGUCGGGUAAGUCUGACGUGAAAUCCCUUGGCUCAACCAAGGAACUGCGUCUUAAACUGCUCGGCUUGAGUCCGGGAGAGGGUAGUGGAAUUCCCAGUGUAGCGGUGAAAUGCGUAGAUAUUGGGAGGAACACCGGUGGCGAAGGCGGCUACCUGGACCGGUACUGACGCUGAGGCGCGAAAGCUAGGGUAGCAAACAG
RNAcentral lists this ribosomal RNA (252 nucleotides) under uncultured prokaryote. RNAcentral's name for it is "partial 16S ribosomal RNA". It matches the Rfam family "Bacterial small subunit ribosomal RNA", at positions 524 to 775 of the family's 1533-position model. The record is from RNAcentral.